CAGUCACCGCGGUAAUACGAAGGGUGCAAGCGUUACUCGGAAUUACUGGGCGUAAAGCGUGCGUAGGUGGUGGUUUAAGUCCGUUGUGAAAGCCCUGGGCUCAACCUGGGAAUUGCAGUGGAUACUGGGUCACUAGAGUGUGGUAGAGGAUAGUGGAAUUUCCGGUGUAGCAGUGAAAUGCGUAGAGAUCGGAAGGAACAUCUGUGGCGAAGGCGACUAUCUGGGCCAACACUGACACUGAGGCACGAAAGCGUGGGGAGCAAACAGGAUUAGAUACCCCCGUAGUCCCUGUCUCUUAUAA
Molecule: ribosomal RNA, 301 nt
Filed under: uncultured bacterium
Lineage: Bacteria
Description: partial 16S ribosomal RNA
Rfam family: Bacterial small subunit ribosomal RNA
Source: RNAcentral